Molecule: ribosomal RNA, 305 nt
Filed under: uncultured bacterium
Lineage: Bacteria
Description: bacterial SSU rRNA
Rfam family: Bacterial small subunit ribosomal RNA
Source: RNAcentral
GCCUACGGGGGGCAGCAGUGGGGAAUAUUGGACAAUGGGGGGAACCCUGAUCCAGCGACGCCGCGUGAGUGAAGAAGUAUUUCGGUAUGUAAAGCUCUAUCAGCAGGGAAGAAAAUGACGGUACCUGACUAAGAAGCCCCGGCUAACUACGUGCCAGCAGCCGCGGUAAUACGUAGGGGGCAAGCGUUAUCCGGAUUUACUGGGUGUAAAGGGAGCGUAGACGGUGCAGCAAGUCUGAUGUGAAAGGCCGGGGCUCAACCCCGGGACUGCAUUGGAAACUGGCAUGCUGGAGUGCCGGAGGGGCA